RNAcentral lists this RNase P RNA (339 nucleotides) under human gut metagenome. RNAcentral describes it as "Bacterial RNase P class A". It matches the Rfam family "Bacterial RNase P class A". From Rfam's summary of the family: Ribonuclease P (RNase P) is a ubiquitous endoribonuclease, found in archaea, bacteria and eukarya as well as chloroplasts and mitochondria. Its best characterised activity is the generation of mature 5'-ends of tRNAs by cleaving the 5'-leader elements of precursor-tRNAs. Cellular RNase Ps are ribonucleoproteins. The record is from RNAcentral. RNAcentral also lists the same sequence under 1 other name.
AGACGGUUGUACGGUUGCGGCAGAGAAAUCUGACGAGGAAAGUCCGAGCUCCACACGGCAGGAUGCCGCCUAACGGACGGUGAAGGUGACUUUAAGGAAAGUGCAACAGAAAAUUACCGCAAAGCAUACGCUUUGUAAGGAUGAAAAGGCGAGGUAAGAGCUCACCGGCGCGGUGGAGACAUCGCGCGCUGUGUAAACCCCAUCCGGAGCAAGAUAGGGGCAGCCCGUAAGAUAGCCGGUCGGGGCUGCCCGUGAAACGUCGCUUGAGCUUGUCGGCAACGGCAAGAGUAGAUAGAUAACCGUAUUAAAUGACAGAACUCGGCUUACAGACCGUCUCGA